AACCACAAACUUAGACAAUAAAUCACCACAUUGUUCGCCCGAGAACUACAAGCGCUAGCUUAAAACCCAAAGGACUUGGCGGUAUCCCACACCCACCUAGAGGAGCCUGUUCUAUAACCGAUAAUCCCCGUUCAACCUCACCACUUCUUGCCAUUACCGUCUAUAUACCGCCGUCGUCAGCUCACCCUGUGAAGGGCUAAAAGUAAGCAAAAAGAACUCAAACCCCAAAACGUCAGGUCGAGGUGUAGCGAAUGAAGUGGGAAGAAAUGGGCUACAUUUU
This 280-nucleotide ribosomal RNA is filed under the name Mustelus mustelus (smooth-hound). Its description in RNAcentral is "partial 12S ribosomal RNA". It matches the Rfam family "Bacterial small subunit ribosomal RNA", at positions 798 to 1233 of the family's 1533-position model. The record is from RNAcentral. Lineage: Eukaryota; Metazoa; Chordata; Chondrichthyes; Carcharhiniformes; Triakidae.